GCGGUCGUGGUGGAAUUGGUAGACACGCAAGGUUGAGGGCCUUGUGGUCGCAAGACUGUGCUGGUUCGAGUCCAGUCGACCGCACCA
This 87-nucleotide transfer RNA is filed under the name Chitinivibrionales bacterium. RNAcentral's name for it is "tRNA-Leu". It matches the Rfam family "tRNA". Rfam says of the family: Transfer RNA (tRNA) molecules are approximately 80 nucleotides in length. Their secondary structure includes four short double-helical elements and three loops (D, anti-codon, and T loops). Further hydrogen bonds mediate the characteristic L-shaped molecular structure. tRNAs have two regions of fundamental functional importance: the anti-codon, which is responsible for specific mRNA codon recognition, and the 3' end, to which the tRNAs corresponding amino acid is attached (by aminoacyl-tRNA synthetases). tRNAs cope with the degeneracy of the genetic code in two manners: having more than one tRNA (with a specific anti-codon) for a particular amino acid; and 'wobble' base-pairing, i.e. permitting non-standard base-pairing at the 3rd anti-codon position. The record is from RNAcentral. Lineage: Bacteria; Pseudomonadati; Fibrobacterota; Chitinivibrionia; Chitinivibrionales.